RNAcentral lists this ribosomal RNA (329 nucleotides) under uncultured eukaryote. Its description in RNAcentral is "partial 18S ribosomal RNA". It matches the Rfam family "Eukaryotic small subunit ribosomal RNA", at positions 1470 to 1796 of the family's 1831-position model. The record is from RNAcentral.
CCCUUAGAUGUUCUGGGCCGCACGCGCGCUACACUGACGAUGGCAACGAGUUUUUCCUUCGCCGAAAGGUGUGGGUAAUCUUUUGAAACAUCGUCGUGCUGGGGAUAGAUCAUUGCGAUUUUUGAUCUUGAACGAGGAAUUCCUAGUAAGCGCGAGUCAUCAGCUCGCGUUGAUUACGUCCCUGCCCUUUGUACACACCGCCCGUCGCUACUACCGAUUGAAUGGUUUAGUGAGGACUCCUGAUUGGCGCCGCCGCCCCGGCAACGGAGCAGCGGACUGCCGAAAAGUUGUUCAAACUUGAUCAUUUAGAGGAAGUAAAAGUCGUAACA